UAGGGAAUAUUGCAAAAUGGGCGAAAGCCCGAUGCAGCAACGCCGCGUGCGCGAUGAAGGCCUUCGGGUCGUAAAGCGCUUUUCAAAGGGACGAGGAAGGACGGUACCUUUGGAAUAAGUCUCGGCUAACUACGUGCCAGCAGCCGCGGUAAAACGUAGGAGGCGAGCGUUAUCCGGAUUUACUGGGUGUAAAGCGCGUGCAGGCGGUUUGGAAAGUUGGAUGUGAAAGCUCCUGGCUUAACUAGGAGAGGUCGUUCAAAACUUCCAGACUAGAGUGCAGUAGAGGGAGGUGGAAUUCCGGGUGUAGUGGUGAAAUGCGUAGAUAUCCGGAGGAACACCAGUGGCGAAAGCGGCCUCCUGGACUGCAACUGACGCUCAGACGCGAAAGCUAGGGUAGCAAACGGG
This 405-nucleotide ribosomal RNA is filed under the name uncultured bacterium. RNAcentral's name for it is "bacterial SSU rRNA". It matches the Rfam family "Bacterial small subunit ribosomal RNA", at positions 355 to 776 of the family's 1533-position model. The record is from RNAcentral.